AUCUACUUGACGAGUCCCAAAUAGGGCAAAACGCGCGUUCUGGAU
Molecule: non-coding RNA, 45 nt
Organism: Schistosoma rodhaini
Lineage: Eukaryota; Metazoa; Platyhelminthes; Trematoda; Strigeidida; Schistosomatidae
Source: Rfam